GACGAACGCUGGCGGCGUGCUUAACACAUGCAAGUCGAACGGAAAGGCCCUGCUUUUGUGGGGUGCUCGAGUGGCGAACGGGUGAGUAACACGUGAGUAACCUGCCCUUGACUUUGGGAUAACUUCAGGAAACUGGGGCUAAUACCGGAUAGGAGCUCCUGCUGCAUGGUGGGGGUUGGAAAGUUUCGGCGGUUGGGGAUGGACUCGCGGCUUAUCAGCUUGUUGGUGGGGUAGUGGCUUACCAAGGCUUUGACGGGUAGCCGGCCUGAGAGGGUGACCGGCGUCAUUGGGACUGAGGUACGACCCAGACACAUACGGGAAGCAGCAGUGGGGAACAUUGCACAAUGGGCGGAAGCCUGUUGCAGCAACGCCGCAGGCGUGAUGACGGCCUUCGGGUGUUAAACCGCUUUCUCCUGUGAUGAAGCGUGAGUGACGGUAAUGGGUUAAGAAGCACCGGCUAACUACGUG
Molecule: ribosomal RNA, 468 nt
Filed under: uncultured bacterium
Lineage: Bacteria
Description: partial 16S ribosomal RNA
Rfam family: Bacterial small subunit ribosomal RNA
Source: RNAcentral